Molecule: long non-coding RNA, 210 nt
Organism: Trematomus bernacchii (emerald rockcod)
Lineage: Eukaryota; Metazoa; Chordata; Actinopteri; Perciformes; Nototheniidae
Exons: 3
Source: RefSeq, a predicted model, not a curated record
UUGGAGCAAUCUGCAUUCAUCCUGGAAGCAGAACUCUUGAUAGCAAUGGAACAACAGGAUUUGAACCUAAUAAUAUAUCAAGUUACCUGGAUGAUUCGGUGGAAAGAAUAAAAGAGGUUGCUAUCCGUUGCUUGGUGGUGUGUCUUCGUGAAAAGGAGGAUCUCUUCAAGGAAAACUUAAGAUGGUGAAGUGGAAGUUAGCAAUGAGGUG